AAACUCAGAUUAACAUCUGAGUAAGUUCUACUAGCCAAAUUGAAAAUUUGGAGUAUCACUUAAGUUGACGAGGAUAUAGGAGUAUCGAAAUUUCGGCGGAUAUCCUAUGGGAUCUCACAGCCCUAAAAGCUAUAAUAAAAGUUAGAAGUGAUUCUGAUUACAAAAAAGCUUUAGUGAGGAC
This 181-nucleotide non-coding RNA is filed under the name Clostridium botulinum Bf. Its description in RNAcentral is "putative glmS glucosamine-6-phosphate activated ribozyme". The stretch from base 22 to 181 matches the Rfam family "glmS glucosamine-6-phosphate activated ribozyme aptamer". From Rfam's summary of the family: This entry contains a glucosamine-6-phosphate activated ribozyme that is found in the mRNA for GlmS. GlmS is an enzyme that uses fructose-6-phosphate and glutamine to generate glucosamine-6-phosphate. Lineage: Bacteria; Bacillati; Bacillota; Clostridia; Eubacteriales; Clostridiaceae. The record is from RNAcentral.